This 706-nucleotide ribosomal RNA is filed under the name uncultured bacterium. RNAcentral describes it as "bacterial SSU rRNA". It matches the Rfam family "Bacterial small subunit ribosomal RNA", at positions 56 to 763 of the family's 1533-position model. The record is from RNAcentral.
UGCAGUCGAACGAGAAUCUGCGGAAGAGGAUUCGUCCAAUUGAAGCAGAGGACAGUGGCGGACGGGUGAGUAACGCGUGAGGAACCUGCCUUUCAGAGGGGGACAACAGUUGGAAACGACUGCUAAUACCGCAUGACAUAUAGAUGUCGCAUGGCAUUUAUAUCAAAGAUUUAUCGCUGAAAGAUGGCCUCGCGUCUGAUUAGCUAGUUGGUGAGGUAACGGCCCACCAAGGCGACGAUCAGUAGCCGGACUGAGAGGUUGAACGGCCACAUUGGGACUGAGAUACGGCCCAGACUCCUACGGGAGGCAGCAGUGGGGAAUAUUGGGCAAUGGGCGCAAGCCUGACCCAGCAACGCCGCGUGAAGGAAGAAGGCUUUCGGGUUGUAAACUUCUUUUGUCAGGGACGAGUAGAAGACGGUACCUGACGAAUAAGCCACGGCUAACUACGUGCCAGCAGCCGCGGUAAUACGUAGGUGGCAAGCGUUGUCCGGAUUUACUGGGUGUAAAGGGCGUGUAGCCGGGAGGGCAAGUCAGAUGUGAAAUCCACGGGCUCAACUCGUGAACUGCAUUUGAAACUACUCUUCUUGAGUAUCGGAGAGGCAAUCGGAAUUCCUAGUGUAGCGGUGAAAUGCGUAGAUAUUAGGAGGAACACCAGUGGCGAAGGCGGAUUGCUGGACGACAACUGACGGUGAAGCGCGAAAGCGUG